GAUGAACGCUGGCGGCGUGCCUAAUACAUGCAAGUCGAGCGAACGGACGAGAAGCUUGCUUCUCUGAUGUUAGCGGCGGACGGGUGAGUAACACGUGUAUAACCUACCUAUAAGACUGGUAUAACUUCGGGAAACCGGAGCUAAUACCGGAUAAUAUUUUGAACCGCAUGGUUCAAAAGUGAAAGACGGUCUUGCUGUCACUUAUAGAUGGAUCCGCGCUGCAUUAGCUAGUUGGUAAGGUAACGGCUUACCAAGGCAACGAUGCAUAGCCGACCUGAGAGGGUGAUCGGCCACACUGGAACUGAGACACGGUCCAGACUCCUACGGGAGGCAGCAGUAGGGAAUCUUCCGCCAUGGGCGAAAGACUGACGGAGCAAGGCCGAGUGAGUGAUGAAGGUCUUCGGAUCGUAAAACUCUGUUAUUAGGGAAGAACAUAUGUGUAAGUAACUGUGCACAUCUUGACGGUAACUAAUCAGAAAGCCACGGCUAACUACGUGC
Molecule: ribosomal RNA, 498 nt
Filed under: uncultured bacterium
Lineage: Bacteria
Description: partial 16S ribosomal RNA
Rfam family: Bacterial small subunit ribosomal RNA
Source: RNAcentral